UCCGGUUGAUCCUGCCGGACCUGACUGCUAUCGGAUUGAUACUAAGCCAUGCGAGUCAUUGUAGCAAUACAAGGCAGACGGCUCAGUAACGCGUAGUCAACCUAACCUAUGGACGGGAAUAACCUCGGGAAACUGAGAAUAAUGCCCGAUAGAACAUUAUACCUGGAAUGGUUUAUGUUCCAAAUGAUUUAUCGCCGUAGGAUGGGACUGCGGCCUAUCAGUUUGUUGGUGAGGUAAUGGCCCACCAAGACUAUUACAGGUACGGGCUCUGAGAGGAGUAGCCCGGAGAUGGGUACUGAGACACGGACCCAGGCCCUAUGGGGCGCAGCAGGCGAGAAAACUUUGCAAUGUGCGAAAGCACGACAAGGUUAAUCCGAGUGGUUUCUGCUAAAGGAACCUUUUGUUAGUCCUAGAAACACUAACGAAUAAGGGGUGGGCAAGUUCUGGUGUCAGCCGCCGCGGUAAAACCAGCACCUCAAGUGGUCAGGAUGAUUAUUGGGCCUAAAGCAUCCGUAGCCGGCUCUGUAAGUUUUCGGUUAAAUCUGUACGCUCAACGUACAGGCUGCCGGGAAUACUGCAGAGCUAGGGAGUGGGAGAGGUAGACGGUACUCGGUAGGAAGGGGUAAAAUCCUUUGAUCUAUUGAUGACCACCUGUGGCGAAGGCGGUCUACCAGAACACGUCCGACGGUGAGGGAUGAAAGCUGGGGGAGCAAACCGGAUUAGAUACCCGGGUAGUCCCAGCUGUAAACUAUGCAAACUCAGUGAUGCAUUGGCUUGUGGCCAAUGCAGUGCUGCAGGGAAGCCGUUAAGUUUGCCGCCUGGGAAGUACGUACGCAAGUAUGAAACUUAAAGGAAUUGGCGGGGGAGCACCACAAGGGGUGAAGCCUGCGGUUCAAUUGGAGUCAACGCCAGAAAUCUUACCCGGAGAGACAGCAGAAUGAAGGUCAAGCUGAAGACUUUACCAGACAAGCUGAGAGGUGGUGCAUGGCCGUCGCCAGCUCGUGCCGUGAGAUGUCCUGUUAAGUCAGGUAACGAGCGAGAUCCCUGCCUCUAGUUG
RNAcentral lists this ribosomal RNA (1057 nucleotides) under marine metagenome. Its description in RNAcentral is "bacterial SSU rRNA". It matches the Rfam family "Archaeal small subunit ribosomal RNA", at positions 1 to 1066 of the family's 1478-position model. The record is from RNAcentral.